GAGUUUGAUCCUGGCUCAGAACGAACGCUGGCGGCAGGCCUAACACAUGCAAGUCGAACGAGAAGCUGGACUUCGGUUCAGUGGAAAGUGGCGCACGGGUGAGUAACGCGUGGGGACCUACCAUUCGGUGGAGGAUAACUGUUGGAAACGACAGCUAAUACUGCAUACGCCCUCCGGGGGAAAGAUUUAUCGCCGAAUGAUGGACCCGCGUCUGAUUAGCUAGUUGGUGAGGUAAUGGCUCACCAAGGCGACGAUCAGUAGCUGGUUUGAGAGGAUGAUCAGCCACACUGGGACUGAGACACGGCCCAGACUCCUACGGGAGGCAGCAGUGGGGAAUAUUGCGCAAUGGAGGAAACUCUGACGCAGCCAUGCCGCGUGAGUGAAGAAGGCCCUAGGGUUGUAAAACUCUUUCAGAUGUGAAGAUGAUGACGGUAACAUCAGAAGAAGCACCGGCUAACUCCGUGCCAGCAGCCGCGGUAAUACGGAGGGUGCUAGCGUUGUUCGGAUUUACUGGGCGUAAAGGGCGCGUAGGCGGAUGUAUC
RNAcentral lists this ribosomal RNA (542 nucleotides) under uncultured bacterium. RNAcentral describes it as "bacterial SSU rRNA". It matches the Rfam family "Bacterial small subunit ribosomal RNA", at positions 9 to 585 of the family's 1533-position model. The record is from RNAcentral.